AGUGAACGCUGGCGGCAGGCCUAACACAUGCAAGUCGAACGGCAGCACAGCAGUAGCAAUACUGUGGGUGGCGAGUGGCGGACGGGUGAGGAAUACAUCGGAAUCUACCUUGUCGUGGGGGAUAACGUAGGGAAACUUACGCUAAUACCGCAUACGAACUAUGGUUGAAAGCGGCGGACCGCAAGGCGUCGCGCGAUUGGAUGAGCCGAUGUCCGAUUAGCUAGUUGGCGGGGUAAAGGCCCACCAAGGCGACGAUCGGUAGCUGGUCUGAGAGGAUGAUCAGCCACACUGGAACUGAGACACGGUCCAGACUCCUACGGGAGGCAGCAGUGGGGGAAUAUUGGACAAUGGGCGCAAGCCUGAUCCAGCCAUGCCGCGUGUGUGAAGAAGG
This 391-nucleotide ribosomal RNA is filed under the name uncultured bacterium. RNAcentral's name for it is "bacterial SSU rRNA". It matches the Rfam family "Bacterial small subunit ribosomal RNA", at positions 29 to 414 of the family's 1533-position model. The record is from RNAcentral.